Molecule: long non-coding RNA, 2823 nt
Organism: Musca domestica (house fly)
Lineage: Eukaryota; Metazoa; Arthropoda; Insecta; Diptera; Muscidae
Exons: 9
Source: RefSeq, a predicted model, not a curated record
GGUAAAUCAAAAAAGGACCGAUUUUUCUUACAAUUUUUGCCAGGAAAUUCUGGCUGCCAUUUUCCUCGCUUAAUUUUUCCAUUUUCUUUUUACAUUAUUCCCCAAUAUUGACAUUUAAGUAAUUGGAAUAAUCAGCUGUUUUUUAGUAAUUGUUCUUCUUCUUCUUCUAGCUAUCAAUUAUUUUCAGGGUUACCCCUUUUAAAGGCGCACACCACAAAGCCAACUAUCCUGCUGAUAUCCUUAUCGAAGGAUAGGGGGAAAAAAAGUGCGACCUUUGUUUUAAAAAUGCAAAAAAAACAUCAAUGGUUUGAUAGGGUAUUAAAAAAAUCGGUGUUUGGCAUCCCUAAAAAUCGCGGUCUGGCAUCCCUAACACUGAUUUUCCAAAAUGAAAUUUAAUUUUGGACUGAUUUAUUUAUUACAAUAAAAAGCUCCAUUAGCCCGUAGGAACAUGGUAUAAUGUUUACGUCAUACGCCACGCGAUAUCGUUUAGUCUGACGUAAGUUGGCUACCGAUAGUAGUGAUUACCGAUAGUAGUGAUGUUUAUGAAUGAAAACAAUCGGAGUACGCGUCUAUUGUAAUUUUUUUUUUGGCGGAUUGGAGCACGGACGGACGGAAAAUUUUGGAGCGGCAGAAAUGAUAAAAUUUUGGAUUGGUGACUGCCUACGUUUGGAUUAAACGAAAGGUAAGAUUGAGACCAGAUAUUUUCUUUUUCUGUAGGGGUACCCUCAACUAGGUCCACACUGUGGUCAGAUUGUUGGAUACGAUAUCAUUUCAAAUGCAUUUAGAUGUGUUUGAUCGUGUCUUCCCGCUUUCAGACUCUAACGUCGUAAAUCGAUGACUGACAGCUCUGCGACCUUGUGUACAACACUCUUCUGCCUUGUGCCAUAGUUGCGUAUGGGAAUAUAAAGGAAGAGUGCACAAAUGGUCAAGGACAGUCACAACGUGACUGCUCAGGAAUCGUAGACAUAUUGUUAGAGACGGUAAAUCUGGGAUGCUUCCUUUCGUAAUCCAACGGAUUCUUUCUGACCACUGCUGCUGGUGUCUAGACGAGUGGCCUCCUAUGGUUACAUGAAAAAAUUUUCAAUGGUCUUAAUGUUCGAAAAGACGACUAGAGAAUUUACUUAACUUGGAUAUCUAAUUCACAACAGACAUUAUUUACCUACAGGCGAUUUAAUUUGCCUCUCCUGUGAAACCAGGAAAUUAUACUUGAUGGUAAGUUCGAGUAAUCCUGUUCUCCUUUUUUCUCCAACAGGUGUACCAUCGACUAGACCUUCAUCUUUUGUCAGAAUGUCGGAUACGAUGGUUUGCAAAUGCCCUUAGGUGUAUUUGUUCUUUUUGUCUUCUGGCUUCCAGACUCUAGUGUCGUAAGUCGGGUGAAGCUUUAGAAAUGAAUGUAAGUUGUAGUUUUAAUUCUAUUUCGUAGUUUUCGUAAUUUGGCUCUGGAAAAUGAGAAAAAUUUCGAGAACUAUAUUUUUUUAUAAACAUAAAUUUUAUAAAAAAUUUCAGUCAAACCCCUUUGUAAGUAUGGCCUGAAAUUGACAUUUUCAAAUUUAAUUUUAUUUUUAAGUUGUUCAUUUUUAUUCGUAUUUUUCUAUUUCGCCAAUAAUCCUACAUAAUGAUAUUUCACUAAUUCAUAUUUUUUUCUUUUUCUUAAUGGAAAAAAAAAAACUGGAGAAAUGGGUUUCAACCUUUACCCAUACACAACUACACAUCACUCAGGAAGGAAAAGCUGUCCUACAGCUUGUUAAAAAAUUCGGGAAUACUAAAAGGACAUUUCGUAAGUAGAAAUUCAGGUACUACUUCUACUAAAUUCAAUUGGAUCUUCCGGAACUCUUGGAAAAUUCAGGUUAUUCUGUACGGCAUACAAAUUCUACUAUCCGGCAGAAUAAUUUUGAUGAAACAAACUGGAAAAAUUCAAAUACUGUUAGGUGGUGGAUUUCUGGUCAAAAUAGUGGGAUUUGGUGAGUUACACUGGCAAAACUGGAAUUGAAAUGGACUAAAAACGGACUGAAAAAUUAAAAUGGAAUAUGGAAUAGGCGGCUUGCACAGACAUCCUCAAGAAGUUCCAUGACAAUACGACCAAUGGUCGGAAGCCAAAAUUGUCGCAGGACCGAAGGAAACUCUGGACUGCGCUUUCUGAUGACAAAAAUUAUGGUGCAAUAAAGGCAGCUUGCAAUUGUGGUUCUUCCCAACAAGAAAGGCAAACAAAGGUGGAGUGUCGAUAGCACUUAAAAUCGACGAACAGAUUAAGAGCCUGGUUACCUAACCUUGAAUAGAGCUCUGUUCAACGUCGUGUACCUGCAGACUAACCAAAAGAAAAAACCGCGGAAUUUAAUUAUGAUGCUUCGUCGUCCGUCUGUCUGUCCGAGGUUUCUUGUAUAAAAUGUCGGUUGGGAAUACCAAGCCACGCUGGGUUAGCAAUGGCGCAAAAUCAGCGGCUCCCUCGAUGGAUUGGAUGGGCGAUGGUGUGGCUUGUAGGCUCCAACUCUUCAUGAAUUUUUAGGUUUAAGAUUUAUUUUCUUGCUUUAGAUUUUUAGUAAAUUGUUUUGGUUUUUUUUUUCUUUAAACUUUGUUAAAUUAUUUCCAAAAUUUAAUUUUAAAAAAAGUUCAAUUUACUUUUAACUUUCAAUUUUUGUGAAAACUAUUUGUUUAGUUAUAAGUUUUCCUUCAUCUUUUAGCAUUUUGUUUUUAAAUUUUGCUUAAUUAUUUUAAGGCUUCCAAUUUUGUUAAAAAAGUUUGUAUUUCGUGUUGUUUGUAUAUGUGUUUCAAAUAAAUAAAAACAUUGAAUUCACUUCUCAGCAAGUGGUUCAUCACCAAAUACUU